CAAUCGGCCCUUUUCAGGGCCAACAAAUGUGUUAUUUGUGUAAUAU
Molecule: non-coding RNA, 46 nt
Organism: Aedes aegypti (yellow fever mosquito)
Lineage: Eukaryota; Metazoa; Arthropoda; Insecta; Diptera; Culicidae
Source: Rfam